GUUUUGGAACAUUUUGUGCUUUAAAGAAAUGGCAUUUCGCUUUUCCUGAAUGAGGAAGGACUGGUUACAUUUCCAUCAGAUUCUGCUCUCCGGCCUUUUGUAAGCUGUGAGAGGGCUGCAUCUUUCCUUCGAGGCACCAAGGAAUAGUGCUGUGUUGUAGGCUGAGGAUGCGCUACUAAAGAUUAGUGAGAAGCUGUAGCUGACAAGAAGAACAGCUGGAUCAUGCAUCUUUCAGGGGGGAAGCACUUGCGCCUUGGUGGCUGAAGGACCGGGCUGGGGAUGGAACCCUGAGCCUCAUGCAUGCUAGGCAAGAAGUCUGCACUAAGCUACAUCCCAGCUCAUCUGUUCUCUGCUCGUUUAAUAGAAUGAUAACCAUUGUGCUUUAUCAAGCCUAGGUCUCUAUCAGGACUUGGGUACAAAGCACAUAUUCAAAACAGCAGGGUCACAGUUGCAUUUGCAUAUGACAGUGAAGUCUUCUCCCAGCUGGCAAACAUCCUCCCGUAAACUAAGAGUUUCUUCAUUUGUCCUACUUAUCUUUUCCUCUCCCUUCCCCCAUUCCAAAUUAUUGUAUUUUCUCAUCAGUGUUUGUAGGUCCAGCUUACUACCCUUGAAGGAUCACAACUAUAGGAAAACCAGAAAAAUAGCUAUGAUGGCACCGUGGGACUUAGAAAUUCACUCUGGGCUGUAUUGGCAUGUGCCUCCCACUACAUUCUCUGCAGACAAA
Chinchilla lanigera (long-tailed chinchilla) is the source of this 724-nucleotide long non-coding RNA. RefSeq lists it as uncharacterized. The transcript is spliced from 4 exons. Lineage: Eukaryota; Metazoa; Chordata; Mammalia; Rodentia; Chinchillidae. The record is from RefSeq and is a predicted model, not a curated record.